RNAcentral lists this long non-coding RNA (399 nucleotides) under Homo sapiens (human). Its description in RNAcentral is "non-protein coding lnc-GDPGP1-1:1". Lineage: Eukaryota; Metazoa; Chordata; Mammalia; Primates; Hominidae. The record is from RNAcentral.
CAGUGAGCCGAGAUCGCGCCACUGCACUCCAGCCUGGGCGGCAGAGAGAGACUUUGUCUCAAAAAAAAAAAAAAAGAAAAAAACAGUUUACCAUUCUAUCAGAAAAUGUUGACCACCCUCAUAUUUUUGGUAAACUGCAGUAAUUUUUCCUUAAUACUUUUUGCAAGCUUUUGCAUGCAUAAGCUCCAGUAUCACACUUAAUUUUGCUUGCUUGCUCUCUGAAGGGAGUUCGGAUGACCAUUACAGCAAAGUGGAUUUUGCGUUCAAAGUGAUAAGCCAAAUAUCAGGAUUUUCCCAGUUUCUCCGUAGGACUGAUGUUUAGAGGAAAGCCUUCCCUGACUCAAAUAUGUUUCUCCAUAUAAAAAGGGGAAAGUAAAAUGGGUUUUCUUUCUGGUGGUA